GGUGGGGUAACGGCUCACCUAGGCGACGAUCCCUAGCUGGUCUGAGAGGAUGACCAGCCACACUGGAACUGAGACACGGUCCAGACUCCUACGGGAGGCAGCAGUGGGGAAUAUUGCACAAUGGGCGCAAGCCUGAUGCAGCCAUGCCGCGUGUAUGAAGAAGGCCUUCGGGUUGUAAAGUACUUUCAGCGGGGAGGAAGGGAGUAAAGUUAAUACCUUUGCUCAUUGACGUUACCCGCAGAAGAAGCACCGGCUAACUCCGUGCCAGCAGCCGCGGUAAUACGGAGGGUGCAAGCGUUAAUCGGAAUUACUGGGCGUAAAGCGCACGCAGGCGGUUUGUUAAGUCAGAUGUGAAAUCCCCGGGCUCAACCUGGGAACUGCAUCUGAUACUGGCAAGCUUGAGUCUCGUAGAGGGGGGUAGAAUUCCAGGUGUAGCGGUGAAAUGCGUAGAGAUCUGGAGGAAUACCGGUGGCGAAGGCGGCCCCCUGGACGAAGACUGAC
Molecule: ribosomal RNA, 501 nt
Filed under: Escherichia sp.
Lineage: Bacteria; Pseudomonadati; Pseudomonadota; Gammaproteobacteria; Enterobacterales; Enterobacteriaceae
Description: bacterial SSU rRNA
Rfam family: Bacterial small subunit ribosomal RNA
Source: RNAcentral